This 465-nucleotide ribosomal RNA is filed under the name Vreelandella stevensii. RNAcentral's name for it is "partial 16S ribosomal RNA". It matches the Rfam family "Bacterial small subunit ribosomal RNA", at positions 338 to 795 of the family's 1533-position model. Lineage: Bacteria; Pseudomonadati; Pseudomonadota; Gammaproteobacteria; Oceanospirillales; Halomonadaceae. The record is from RNAcentral.
CCUACGGGUGGCAGCAGUGGGGAAUAUUGGACAAUGGGCGAAAGCCUGAUCCAGCCAUGCCGCGUGUGUGAAGAAGGCCUUCGGGUUGUAAAGCACUUUCAGUGGGGAAGAAAGCCUUGGGGCUAAUACCCUCGAGGAAGGACAUCACCCACAGAAGAAGCACCGGCUAACUCCGUGCCAGCAGCCGCGGUAAUACGGAGGGUGCGAGCGUUAAUCGGAAUUACUGGGCGUAAAGCGCGCGUAGGCGGUCUGAUAAGCCGGUUGUGAAAGCCCCGGGCUCAACCUGGGAACGGCAUCCGGAACUGUCAGGCUAGAGUGCAGGAGAGGAAGGUAGAAUUCCCGGUGUAGCGGUGAAAUGCGUAGAGAUCGGGAGGAAUACCAGUGGCGAAGGCGGCCUUCUGGACUGACACUGACGCUGAGGCGCGAAAGCGUGGGUAGCAAACAGGAUUAGAUACCCGAGUAGUC